AUUGAACGCUGGCGGCAGGCCUAACACAUGCAAGUCGAGCGGAUGAAGGGAGCUUGCUCCUGGAUUCAGCGGCGGACGGGUGAGUAAUGCCUAGGAAUCUGCCUGGUAGUGGGGGAUAACGUCCGGAAACGGGCGCUAAUACCGCAUACGUCCUGAGGGAGAAAGUGGGGGAUCUUCGGACCUCACGCUAUCAGAUGAGCCUAGGUCGGAUUAGCUAGUUGGUGGGGUAAAGGCCUACCAAGGCGACGAUCCGUAACUGGUCUGAGAGGAUGAUCAGUCACACUGGAACGGGAACACGGUCCGGACUCCUAGGGAGGGCAGCAGUGGGAAAUUUUGGAAAAGGGGGGAAGACUGGAUCCAGCCAUGCGGGGGGUGGAAAAAAGGUUUUCGGAUUGUAAAGCACUUUAAGUUGGGAGAAAGGGCAGUAAGUUAAUACCUUGCUGUUUGGAGGUUACCAACAAAAUAAGCACCGGCAAACUUCGG
Molecule: ribosomal RNA, 483 nt
Filed under: uncultured bacterium
Lineage: Bacteria
Description: partial 16S ribosomal RNA
Rfam family: Bacterial small subunit ribosomal RNA
Source: RNAcentral